This 522-nucleotide ribosomal RNA is filed under the name uncultured bacterium. RNAcentral describes it as "bacterial SSU rRNA". It matches the Rfam family "Bacterial small subunit ribosomal RNA", at positions 987 to 1509 of the family's 1533-position model. The record is from RNAcentral.
UCCAGAGAAUUUAGCAGAGAUGCUUUAGUGCCUUCGGGAACUCUGAGACAGGUGCUGCAUGGCUGUCGUCAGCUCGUGUUGUGAAAUGUUGGGUUAAGUCCCGCAACGAGCGCAACCCUUAUCCUUGUUGCCAGCACGUAAUGGUGGGAACUCAAAGGAGACUGCCGGUGAUAAACCGGAGGAAGGUGGGGAUGACGUCAAGUCAUCAUGGCCCUUACGAGUAGGGCUACACACGUGCUACAAUGGCGCAUACAAAGAGAAGCGACCUCGCGAGAGCAAGCGGACCUCAUAAAGUGCGUCGUAGUCCGGAUUGGAGUCUGCAACUCGACUCCAUGAAGUCGGAAUCGCUAGUAAUCGUAAAUCAGAAUGUUACGGUGAAUACGUUCCCGGGCCUUGUACACACCGCCCGUCACACCAUGGGAGUGGGUUGCAAAAGAAGUAGAUAGCUUAACCUUCGGGAGGGCGUUUACCACUUUGUGAUUCAUGACUGGGGUGAAGUCGUAACAAGGUAGGCGUAGUGCU